CCUACGGGAGGCUGCAGUGAGGAAUAUUGGUCAAUGGGCGGUAGCCUGAACCAGCCAAGCCGCGUGAAGGAAGAAGGCGCCAAGCGUCGUAAACUUCUUUUGUCGGGGAACAAAGGGCGCACGGGUUGCGUUUUUAGUGUACCCGAAAAAAAAGCAUCCGCUAAAUCCGUGCCAGCAGCCGCGGUAAUACGGGGGAUGCGAGCGUUAUCCGGAGUUUUUGGGUUUAAAGGGUGCGUAGGCGGUCCGGAAAUUCAGCGGUAAAAGCCCGGGGCUCAAACCCGGCGAGCCGUUGAAACUGUCGGACUAGAGACGGCGAGAAGUACGCGGAAUGCGCGGUGUAGCGGUGAAAUGCAUAGAUAUCGCGCAGAACUCCGAUUGCGAAGGCAGCGUACCGGCGCCGGACUGACGCUGAGGCACGAAAGCGUGGGUAUCGAACAGGAUUAGAUACCCCUGUAGUC
RNAcentral lists this ribosomal RNA (458 nucleotides) under uncultured bacterium. Its description in RNAcentral is "partial 16S ribosomal RNA". It matches the Rfam family "Bacterial small subunit ribosomal RNA", at positions 338 to 795 of the family's 1533-position model. The record is from RNAcentral.